UGAGGAGGAAGAGGAGGGACAAGGGAGGGAUUAUGAAACAUAAGGCAGCCAAAGGUGAAACAAUACACUGAGGAACUGUUAAGAUAAUCACUUCUUGGUGUUUCGGUGAGAUUUUCACAGAGAAUAAUAGAAAAAAAUUGAAGAAGAAAAACAAAUGCUGUCCAGAUUCAAUUUUGUAAACCGUGAAAUUACAAGUGGGAAUUAUCUUUGAAUUCUGAAAAUUGUGUGAAGUCUGAAGAGUCAAAAAGAGAAAAUGUGAUGAAUUUUCAAAAGGGAUCUGGAGACUGACUAUUUGGUUAAUAGGUAGGUUCCAGAGAACUGAAGCAGAAAGAAAACAUAUUUAAACAAUCUUUAAAAAUAUUUUGAGGAUUUGGAUAAAGACAAAGGUACAGAGAGGGAAGGAAAUUAAGCAUGUUUCUUUCUGCUCUGUUAUACCAAAUUAACAGCUGCCCAUAUGAUUCACACCUGAGCAAACUCUGCUCCUGUUUAAACCAAAAAAACAUUCUUCCAGGUUCCCAGGUACAAAGAACAGCUAUGUAACUAUAAUCACGUUGCAACUGACUGUCUUUCCCAUGCCUUCUAAGCUAGAAAAGUUGAGGAUCUCAUCUUCAGAACCCAAAACGAAGUGAUCCCUGAUUCAAGAAGUCAACACUCAGUCAACAACUCAUCUCCAUGCUCGGGUGAAGGACAGAUAUUUUGGAAUUUGUGUGGGAGGGAAAACUGUGGUUGUAAUGUAAAAUGAAAUUAAAAAAAAAAAAAGAAUGGCAAGAAAACCUCAGAAAUAAACUAGUCAGGAAUUUCUUACUACAAAAUCUUCUCAGGGGUCCAUGCAAAAAUCUCUUACCUCCCAUACUUCUUACUUAAUGAAGCACACAGGCUGUUAACCCCAACCUAUUUUAAAACUAAUUUUCCUUGUAGGUAAUGAUCACAUACUUCUAGGAAUUAGAUGUGGUAGGAGUUUCGCUGUAUUUAAUCUCAUAUGGUUUCAGGCUUAGCCUAUGUACUGAGAGCUUAGAAGUGAAGUAGUUGUUGCUGCUCAAUUUUAUCCUAGGUACAGCCUAGUCAGAUGUUUAGGGGCCAUGAUCUCUUGAUCACGUGGUUAAGUCCUAGGGCUAUGUGCAUAUUGUGUGAGAUUCGCAGCAGAUUCCUUGCUUUAAACAGUGGUGGGGUCAAUGUUAUUUGUAAGCAGACACAUGACUAAUUCACAUAAUGCAUGAUGCAUGAAAGUGGGCAGUGUUGUAAAAGAAGACCUACACAUGAAAACUGGCUUCAGGAAGCCAGGGGUCACUGCAGAGUGGAAAGUUGACUUGCCUUGUAGUAAUUAGACAUUUAUUCUGUUUGACUUACAAUGUGCUUUGGGUGAAAAUUACUGGCCUUAUGAGGUAAAUGUUGAGAAAAGCUCAGGAUUUGGGGGUAUUUUGUGACUGAAGGAAUGGAGGGAAUGACCAUUGUGAACAUAUGAAUGGAUGGGAUUGGGGGAGACAUUGCACAGAAGAAUGGAGGGUCACAGAGGCUGUGCAAACUUCCUUCAAAAGGUAGUGUCCUUGUUACGACAUAUGACACACAUGAGCAAGGACCACAGAUGCUUCAGGUAUCAUAAAACAAUCGAUUGCCAUAUUGUGAAAACAAAACUAUAUCUUAUAUUAGAUAUUUUAGGAUAAACUUGAAGCAUGGAAUGACUGAACAAGCCUCAAGCAUUGUUACUAAUAUUGUGACUUACUUUGUCAUCAACAAAAAUCCCUGAGGAAAAUUCACACGCCCGAUGGGAGCUAUCGGUUGAAAAUGAAUACUGUGGGCACAGACACAUGCACCUGGAGCUUCAGUAGGAAAGGUGAACUGGACUGUAGCUGGAUCUUCAGGAAAACAACAUAAAGAGACAAAGGCUCCAGCAGCCUGACUGAACUGAAAGAUACUUCUGUCAGACGUUCAGAGGAGUCAUUCCCAUCAGACCCUGGAUGUGGGACUCUUGUUCUUCACUAGCGUUCAACUAUUCUGACAGUGAAUAACUGACCAAACCCAUCCAUACCCCUCUUGGAAUCGUGCAACGAAGAGAGUGAAUUUCCCUGUAUGUGAGUGAAAUAGUGAACAAAAUAGAUUGCUUCUCAGCUCCUACUUAAAGCAGAUCACAAGCUCCUGUGACUUCAGCUCCAGAUGAUCAGAGACCCACUCCUGGCUUUUAUGGGCAGUGAGGCUCAUCCACACAUGAUGUCCCAAGCCCACACACACAUAAUGACCAAUUAUUGGACUUAAGAGUUUAACAAAACAAAUUACAGCAGCAACAAAAUUACCCAGAACACAUGAAGAUUGGAAGGAGCUUGUGGAGUUUUGGAUGGGGAUGGAAAAUGGGAGGCAGAUAAGAUAGUUCU
This is a non-coding RNA of Cricetulus griseus (Chinese hamster), 2366 nucleotides long. NCBI's taxonomy places the organism in Eukaryota, Metazoa, Chordata, Mammalia, Rodentia, Cricetidae. The record is from RefSeq and is a predicted model, not a curated record.